Molecule: ribosomal RNA, 744 nt
Filed under: Triticum aestivum (bread wheat)
Lineage: Eukaryota; Viridiplantae; Streptophyta; Magnoliopsida; Poales; Poaceae
Description: partial small subunit ribosomal RNA
Source: RNAcentral
AUGAAAGCCUACUCGGCCCCGGGGCUAGACGGCCACCCAGUAGUUUUUUUCCAAAAAUUCUGGGAGAUCCUACGUCCGAUGAUUAUGCCCAUAUUCCAUGAGUUCUACAUUGGAACAUUGGAUAUGGCUACGAUUAACUAUGGUGUCAUAUCCCUGAUCCCCAAAGUAGUUGGGGCGACAGAUAUUAGGCAAUUCCGACCCAUCAUGGUGAUCAACGUGUUGGAGCGAAUCUUUGCGAAGGUUUGCGCGACUCGUUUAUCCCCUGUGGCGGGAAGGAUUGCCCACCCCCUUCAGUCCGCGUUCCUGAAGGGCAGACGGAUCCAUGAUGGGAUUCUUGCCCUUCAUGAGAUCGUCCACGAGGUGGCGUCGAAGGGACUUAAGGGGGUCUUCCUCAAAUUGGACUUCCAGAAGGCAUAUGACCAUCUGGAUUGGUCCUUUUUGAGGUUGGUGAUGGAGCGACGAGGAUUUGACGAGAGGUGGUGUUCCUGGAUCAUGCAACUGGUCAGAUCUGGGAACACGGCGAUCAACAUCAAUGGCAAGGUGGGCCCCUUUUUCCCGGCCUCCCGAGGGGUAAAGCAAGGGAACCCUGUCUCCCCCUUGCUUUUCAACCUCGCAGUUGAUGCCCUAGCGGGCAUCUUAGAUAAGGCCAAGAUGGCCGGCCACCUUAAGGGUGUAGUUAGUCACCUCAUCCCGGAUGGGGGAGUUACUCAUUUGCAAUAUGCGGAUGACACCAUGAUUAUGGUG